This 502-nucleotide ribosomal RNA is filed under the name uncultured bacterium. RNAcentral's name for it is "partial 16S ribosomal RNA". It matches the Rfam family "Bacterial small subunit ribosomal RNA", at positions 30 to 523 of the family's 1533-position model. The record is from RNAcentral.
AUUGAACGCUGGCGGCAGGCUUAACACAUGCAAGUCGAGCGGGGUGAUGGUGCUUGCACUAUCACUUAGCGGCGGACGGGUGAGUAAUGCUUAGGAAUCUGCCUAUUAGUGGGGGACAACAUCUCGAAAGGGAUGCUAAUACCGCAUACGUCCUACGGGAGAAAGCAGGGGAUCACUUGUGACCUUGCGCUAAUAGAUGAGCCUAAGUCGGAUUAGCUAGGUGGUGGGGUAAAGGCCUACCAAGGCGACGAUCUGUAGCGGGUCUGAGAGGAUGAUCCGCCACACUGGGACUGAGACACGGCCCAGACUCCUACGGGAGGCAGCAGUGGGGAAUAUUGGACAAUGGGGGGAACCCUGAUCCAGCCAUGCCGCGUGUGUGAAGAAGGUCUUCGGAUUGUAAAGCACUUUAAGUUGGGAGGAAGGGCAGUAAAUUAAUACUUUGCUGUUUUGACGUUACCGACAGAAUAAGCACCGGCUAACUCUGUGCCAGCAGCCGCCGCAG